RNAcentral lists this microRNA precursor (60 nucleotides) under Sarcophilus harrisii (Tasmanian devil). Its description in RNAcentral is "Sha-Mir-7371-o14_pre stem-loop". It matches the Rfam family "mir-7386 microRNA precursor family". Lineage: Eukaryota; Metazoa; Chordata; Mammalia; Dasyuromorphia; Dasyuridae. The record is from RNAcentral.
GCUUGGAUAAGGUAUUCUUAUUUUGUGAAUUUUACCAAAAUAAAUUACCUUAUCCUUGGA